RNAcentral lists this ribosomal RNA (166 nucleotides) under Brachionus calyciflorus. RNAcentral describes it as "5.8S ribosomal RNA". It matches the Rfam family "5.8S ribosomal RNA". Rfam says of the family: 5.8S ribosomal RNA (5.8S rRNA) is a component of the large subunit of the eukaryotic ribosome. The record is from RNAcentral. Lineage: Eukaryota; Metazoa; Rotifera; Eurotatoria; Ploima; Brachionidae.
ACAACCCUAUGCGGUGGAUCACUUGGCUCGCGAGUCUAUGAAGAGCGCAGCAAACUGCGUGAAUUAAUGUGAUUUGCAGGACACAUUGAUCAUCGAUAUCUUGAAAGCAUAUUGUGGUCAUGGAUCGCUUCCAUGACCACUUCUGUUUGAUGGUUGGGAUUAAUAU